This 3342-nucleotide long non-coding RNA is filed under the name Sus scrofa (pig). RNAcentral's name for it is "lncRNA (ENSSSCG00000057627.1)". Lineage: Eukaryota; Metazoa; Chordata; Mammalia; Artiodactyla; Suidae. The record is from RNAcentral.
GGUCCAUAAAAAUCAUCAAGUACAAAAGAAGAAGUAAAAUCAGCAUAGAUUUAUAGUGAAUGAAAUCAGAACAGAGGUUGACUCUGGAGGGAUAAUAGUGGUUAGAGAAUGAGAGGUUACAUGUAGUUAAAUCUAAAAAAUCGUCUCAUUAAAGCAUAAGCAUAUUCCUGUCCUGUGAGAUUUAAAUGUAUGUGAGUAUACAGACACUCUGAUAUAAAUAUACACACGUAAGUAUUAAAAUAUUUUAAUGUAUUACAUAAAACAUAGUAUAAAAUUAUAAUGCAUGCCUAUUAAAGAAAACAACAACAAUACCAGUAGGCAAGACUGAAUUAAAGUGUUACAGUUAAAAUGGAGAUUAAAUAUUCUAAGGUCUUUACAUUGUCCCUGAGGUAUAAAAAAAAUCACCAGUCUACGUCUAUUAACCCCAAUUUAUAUAAGAAAAUACUAAGCCUUAUUUUAAUAUUUAGGAUAAAGAGAAUAAUUGUAAAAGAAUAUAAGACGAAGAAGCAAAUACAGGAGAAAAAUAAAACAAUAAUUAUCCUAAAGAGAAACUAAGACAAUAGAGACCAAAAAAAGAUUGUAGAAUAGAUAGAAUAAUUAGAAAAGACAAAGAAAAUAGAUUUAAAUCCAAGUACGCCAGUAAUCACAUUAAAUAUGAAUAAACUAAAUAUGCCAAUUAAAUGACAAAGACUGUCAGACUAGGUGAAAUUUAGAAAACUGUCACAUGAGAGACACUUUAAUAUAUAAGGACAAAGAAAGAUUAAAAGUAAAAAGAUGGAGAUAGACUUUCUAUUUCUAUAGUCUGAAUGUUCCAUAGGUUAAAAUCCUAACUUGAAGGGGAUGGUAUUAGGAGGUAGAGCCCUCGUGAAUGAGACAACAGAUUAGUGCUCUUAGAGCUGAGGCUCCAGAGAGGUCCCUCGGCCCUCCAACCGUGUGAGGACGCAGAAGUCUGUGACCUGGAAAAGGCCGUUUUUCAACCAUGCUGGCCCUCUGACCGUGACUUCAGCCUCCAGAACUGUGAGCAGUAAAUUUCUGCUAUUUUUAAGUCAUCAGUCUGUGAUAUUUUAUAGAGGCCUUUAAUGGACUAAGGCAAACGUAUAAAAGGAAAGCUUUCAUGUCAUCACUUAUAUCAGACAGAUUAUAUUUAAGGCAAAAAGCAUUACUGAAGAUUGAGGAUAUAUCAUAAUGAAAAAAAUUUCAAUGUACCUGGGAGUUGGUGAUGGUUAAUUUUAUGUGUUACCUUGACUAGACCAUGGUACCAAGAUAUGUAGCCAAACAGUAUUCUAGAUGUUUCUGUGUAGGUAUUUUUCAGAUGAGAGUAACAGUUAAAUCAGUAAUAAGACAGAUUUCCCCUCAAAAUGUGAAUGGGCCUCAUGCAGUCAGUUGAAGGCCUUAAUGGAAGACUGACCUCCCCAGAAGAAGGGGGCAUUUCUGCCAGCAGAGGGUCUUUGAAGUCAAACUACAAAUCCUCCCUGGAUCUUCAGCUGGCCAGGCUACCCUGAAGAUUUUGGACCCACCGGCCUCCACGGGCAUCUAUAUAUCAGAGACAAUCAAAUGUAUAUAUAAAACUGCUUACUGAGUUUGUACCUUGAUUGAACCCCAGAAUAUCCUGUUGAUAACCUUGUGAUGUGGGUAGGUAUUGAUAUUUCCAUUUAUAGGAACAAACACAGUGCUAAAAGGUUGCCUACCUUACUGAAGGACAUACCUACUGAUUAUUAAUAUCAGAUCAAAGCCCAUAUCCUUCUGACACCAAACUCAUUUUCUCCUUCCAUGGGUUGGUCUCCUCUUUUCAAUAAUCUUACUGGCUUAUUCUGUCAUUUUGUAGUUGGAGAUGAUUGACUUGAUUUUCUUGCCUAGUAGACCCAUGGCACAGCACCUCGUGGUGUCCAGUGGGGGGCCCUAUCUUUCCAGACAGACUGCCCUGCCCUGCGACUCCCUGCCCUUGCACUUCCCUGCCGAAUUCCUGCCCUUGCACUUCUCAGCCAAGUGCACAUCAGAUGCUUUCAGGGCUCUAUCGCUCUCCAAGUGACAGAUCUUAAUGCUCAUAAUUGUCACCCAUUAUAUCAUUAUUACAUUUUCUGUGGAAUUAAAAUCCUUUUCAUGAAAGGGCAAAAAAAGUUCAUCUGCCUUACGGUGUAUCCCAAACUUCUUUAUCGGGGUAUUUGCUCUGUAAAAUUUCCAGCUGAGGCUCCAGAGUGACUUUCACUGCCUUGCUCCCUGGCAGUUUGUGGAGAGGAUGUUCAAGUCACACGGGAACCUCUGCCGUCAGUGUCUUCCUUUUAGAAUUUACAGCUGUGAAACAAUGAGUCCUUGAGGGCAGGGGCAGUACCUUUCCAGCCUCUGUGUGCCUGGCACCAUGCCUCACACAUCAUAGGUAAUGCAUAAGUGCUUAUCAAUAAGGGGCAUUCGCCAUUCCUUUUUUUCAAGCACAUUUGAAUACUUUGCUUUCAAGUCUGUAGCGCGGCCCUCAAGCUUAAUGGAAUUGGAGCAAAACAUAUUUAGAAAGAUUUAAGUAGAAAGUUUAUGUCCCAUUUUGCAGACAAAGAAACUGAAGCCUGAGACAUUGAGAUACUGAAUCCAAGAGCUACGCAGAAGAACGAUGGCAGAGGCAAAGCUAGUCAGAGAUGAUCAAAUGCCUUUCCUCUCUGCAUCCUGCUACCCGGCCCCGUCCCUGUGUCUUGCGUUGGUUCAUUCUUUCUUCUCUUUUUUCUGAUCUUACUAUUGUAGAAGUUCUUCCUCUCUUGAACCAGUGCAGAAGUUCCUGGCAGCACAGGGUCGGUGAGGUGUACGCCCUGCUUCAGCAGCAUCACAGCAGGGACCAAAGCCAAGCACUGUGAGUUCCUUCCCGUCUAAGCUUCCAAGGCAGCAUCUUUGACCCAUGGGUCAAAAGAGAGUAGCUUGCAUCACUUUCUCUGGCCAGUGUUUGCUGGCCUGUUUGUCUCCCCAUGAGGGGCUGGAGGCCCUGGAGAGACAGUGAGCAGUCAGCAGGGGGAGAGCUCAGACCCUGGAGAAACAUUCCUGGGGUCUCAGCUACGUGCUCAUUCAGUAAUCACUGACUGACAGGCACUCUGCUACCAUGGAGGGGCUGUCAUGGUAACAAGACAAGCAUGGUCCCUGCUCCUAGAAGAUAGGAAUUUGAUGAAUGAAUUAAAAAUGACUUCAGUUCCCGCUGUGGCUCACUGGGAUGAGGAUUCGGGUUCAAUCCCUGCCCCCUCUCAGUGGGUUAAGGAUCCAAUGUUGUUGUGAGCUGUGGCAUAGGUCGCAGACAUGGCUCAGAUCUGAUAGUGCUGUGGCUGUGGUGUAGGCCAACAGCUGCAGCUUCAAUUUGACCCCCUAGCCUAG